This 1908-nucleotide ribosomal RNA is filed under the name Triticum aestivum (bread wheat). RNAcentral describes it as "partial small subunit ribosomal RNA". The record is from RNAcentral. Lineage: Eukaryota; Viridiplantae; Streptophyta; Magnoliopsida; Poales; Poaceae.
AUGGAACUCAGACAAGCAGCCGGUGACUUCAAGGACGAUGGAAGCUCCUUCAUGUGCUCCCGGCUCUACGUCGCCACGUUCGAGGGGCGCACGCAGGAGGUCGCCGGCCUCCUGGCGGGAAGAAGCGGCGACGCACCGCCGGCAGCGCACUCAAAAGUUAUCGCGGUCGACUACCACCAUGGGCGACCAUGUACGACCAGGGAGGUCACCGGAGAGGGGAACACGCUCCUGCACAUCGCCGCCGGGCAGGGCCACGGGAGCCUCAUCGCCGAGCUGUGCUACCAGGACAGCUCCCUCCUCUCCUCCGUGAACCGGGCGCUGGACACGCCGCUGCACAGCGCCGCGCGGGCCGGCCGCGCGGACGCCGCGGAGGCCGUCGUCCGGCUGGCGCGGGCGAACGUGGAGGAGGACGCGCUCUGCGGGAUCCUCCGCGGCAGGGACGACGCCGGGGACACGGCGCUGCACCUGGCCGCCAGGCACGGCCACCGCGAGGCGGUGGAGAGGCUCAUGAAGCUGGCGCCGGAGCUCGCCGCGGAGGUGGACGGCGCCGGCGUGUCGUCUCUGUACCUGGCGGUGAUGAGCGGGUCUGUGGACGCCGUCAGAGCCAUCGCCUCGCACGGCGACGCGUCGGCCGCCGGACCGAGCUCGCAGAAUGCGUUGCACGCCGCCGUUCUCCAAAGUUCAGAAAUGGUUGACUUGCUCUUGCAAUGGAGGCCGGCACUCACCAGCAACCUUGACACAAACAAGAGCAGCCCGCUGCAUUUCGCCGCAUCCGACGGCGACUGCUCCAUCAUCGAAGCGCUCUUAACACAUUCACCGCCCAGCACGGCAUAUCUGCAGGACAGUGACGGCGUCUCAGCUCUGCAUGUCGUGGCAAGGAUGGGCCAUGUAGCCGCCGUCCACCUGCUGCUGGAACUAUACCCUUCUUGCGCCGACAUUCGCGAUAACCGGGGCAGAAGCUUUGUGCAUGUUGCGGCCAUGAAGGGCCGCUCUUCCGUCAUGUCCUAUGUUAUCAAAAGCAAGAUGCUGGAACAUCUUCUGAACAUGCAAGACAAGGAAGGGAACACGCCGCUGCAUUUGGCCGUGGCGGCAGGGGAGCACAAAGUCAUCUCCAAGCUGUUAGCGUGUAAGAAGGUGCAUACCCACAUGAUGAACAAUGCUGGCCGGACACCAUCUGAUCUCAUAGAGGAUUCAACUGGUUUCUACUCAAUGAUAAAGCUAGUGGUGAAAUUGUAUAUUUCUGGAGCACGGUUCAGGCCACAGAGGCAAGACCAUAUAGAGAAAUGGAAGGGUCAGGAUAUCAUGAAAUGGCGAGAGACGAUAUCGAAAAAUCUUGCGAUUGUCUCCACACUCGUGGCAACAAUCGCCUUCUCUGCAGCGUUCAACGUGCCUGGAUCAUACGGGUCUGAUGGAAAGGCAAAUCUUGAUGGGGAUCGUUUCUACAACGCCUUCUUGGUGUUGGACACCAUUGCCGUGACCACAUCUGUGGUUGCAACAAUACUUCUUAUCUAUGGGAGAGCUUCACGGACAAAUCGCUCCUGGAUAGGCUUCAUUGUGUCAAUGCAUUUCCUUUGGGUGGCACUGAAUAGCAUGAUGUUAGCCUUCUUCAUGGCUAUAGCCGCCGUGGUGAGCGACAAGAACCCCAUGAAGAUUGCAUUGUCUCAGCUGAUGUACGGUGGGUUGUACAUCUUGAUGACACUGCUUGCAUGCUUUGCAACGCCCGGAUCGUUUCUAGGUGUUGUGCGGUUCUUGGUUGGCUGUUGUUCUGAACCUCUACGACGUUCCAAAAGACGCAUAAGUCGGCAGUUCCCCUUUGUUGUAUAUUAUGCCUUUAAUGUGAUUGUGUUCAUCAUUGUAAAUACAAUAGUACUUCUAUUAAUUAGUGUCGCUGGCCGUCUGCCUAGGUAG